RNAcentral lists this ribosomal RNA (756 nucleotides) under uncultured archaeon. RNAcentral describes it as "bacterial SSU rRNA". It matches the Rfam family "Archaeal small subunit ribosomal RNA", at positions 84 to 844 of the family's 1478-position model. The record is from RNAcentral.
UACGGCUCAGUAACACGUCGAUAAUCUGCCCUUAGGUCAAAGAUAACUUUGGGAAACUGAAGGUAAUAUUUGAUAGAGAAAAAUAACUGGAAUGUUUUUUUCUUUAAAAGCAAUGCCUAAGGAUGAGUCGGCGGCUGAUUAGGUUGUUGGUGAGGUAAAGGCUCACCAAGCCGAAGAUCAGUAGGGGGGAUGAGAGUCCGAGCCCCGAGAAGGGCACUGAGAUACUGGCCCUAGCCCUAAGGGGUGCAGCAGGCGCGAAAACUUUACAAUGGGCGAAAGCCUGAUAAGGGAAUCCUAAGUGCUUAUCUUUUAGAUAGGCUUUUAUCAAGUGUAAGAAGCUUGAGGAAUAAGUGGUGGGUAAGACCGGUGCCAGCCGCCGCGGUAACCCCGGCGCCACAAGUGGUGAUCACGUUUAUUGGGUCUAAAGCGUCCGUAGCAGGCUUAUUAAAUCUUUUGUGAAAUUGUUUAGCUCAACUAAACAACGUGCAAGAGAAACUGAUAAGCUAGAGACCGGGAGGAGAUAGGAGUACUCUAGAGGGAGCGGUAAAAUGUGAUAAUCUUUAGAGGACUACCAGUGGCGUAGGCGCCUAUCUAGAACGGGUCUGACUGUGAGGGACGAAAGCUAGGGGAGCAAAAGGGAUUAGAUACCCCAGUAGUCCUAGCUGUAAACACUGCGAGCUAUAUGUUGCAUAUUCUUCGUGAAUAUGCAGUGUCUAAAUGAAGAUGUUAAGCUCGCCACCUGGGAAGUACGGCCGC